UUCGUUAAAGAGAUAUUAAGAGAAAACCCCGACCAAUCAGAGCGCGCGUAUACCGUUGGAGCGGCCGCGGUAGUGAAGGGUACGCGCGAAGCGGCCGCGCUCAUACGCGAACAAAUGACUCGAAGGUGCAUCGAAGGACAUUGACGCGGCCAUUGAGUUCUAUCCUAACUGGAGUGUGAAUUCCUGUAGAAGGAAGUAGAGGCGACGGAGGUCCGAGAGAAAUGCAAAAUGGGUGGUUCCGGUAUUUAUUUGUAGAGGGGGAACAAACGUACGCCGUAACAUAACCUACCCGAGCAUCGCUGAGCAUUGUCGAGUGAGUUUCUUUCAGAUUCUUUUCCGCAUAAAAUUGAAUAAAUACAAUAUAAAUUGAAUUGUGACAAAUAAUCAAAUUUAGCUCUACACCAAAUUGUAUAUAUUUGUAUGAUCUAAAUUAUGGUAUGUAAAUUAUGUAUACUAUUUCAUUAUUAUGUUAUUAUUAUUAAUGUUUCUAUCGUUUUAUAUAUAAAUAAAAAGGAAAUAAAGUUCAAAUCUGUACAUAAUUAAUCUGUAAAUAACUCCUAGUGCCGCGAAAUUCAAACAAAGAGGAGUCUGUUCUCCUUCCACACAUAAAUUUGCUAUAGGAUAGUACCACCGGAACCACUCAUCUUGCAUCUUUCUCGGACGGGCUUCUCUUUCACAGUUCGCACUCCAGUUAGGAUAGAGCUCAAUAAACGCGGCCGUCUAGCGCGUAGCCACAGCCGACUCUAGUACUAGCCAUGCUGAGAAACGUGGCAACACCAAUCAAAGUCUAGAUCUAGAGCCCUAUUUUCCAAUGUAAGAGGUUUGUGCUUCGUAUCAUAAUUAACAGUUUUUUUAAUAGAAAACUAUACUAAUGUACACCAUUUGUUAUUAAUUAUGUAAAAGUGGGAUAUAAAUAUUAUGACUAUAGUAAGUAAAAGUAGCUUAAAAGUAUAUUGAUAUCUGAAAAUGUAGUAUAAAUUUGAUGGACUCUGAAAGAAGUUUGAUGUUAUGAUGCAUUAAACUUGAAAUAUUUACAGUGAUUUGAAGAAAAUAUAUGUGUGAAGGAAGAUAAAACCUUCUUUGGACCAAAUUGAAGUGUUUUAAAAUUAAUAAAAGAUAUUUUAAGUUAAUGGAAACGUGAAAUUGACAAAAUUGUUGGUAUGAAGCCAAAGAGAUUAAGUGAGCGCGUGGAAGAGAUGAAGGGAAGUUACCCAAGAAAAGAAUUGUGCAGUUAAUUACAAGAGUGUGUUACAGAUUUUACAAAUUGGGACUUGAAGUUAGCAUCAUUAAUUAUGGCUUCCAUUAUGGCAUACAUAUGACUGAAUACGGUCAUUACUUCUUCUGUAGGAACAGAAAGGUCUCCUCCUUCAACAGAAUGGGACCUAUAACCAGAUAUGUAAAUUUUAAUGGAAUCAUCAACAACACAAGUGGAUAAAUAUUCAGUUUCGAAGAUUCCCAGAAAACAAGUUACAUCAAUGGAAAGAUCAUGAAGAUUAUUAUCGUUAUCACAAAUUUGAAAUCUAUUUUUGAUUUAAGUAAAAGAAAAGAAUCUUGCCAAUUUCUUAAAUAUGUUUUAAUCUAAUAUUUUUCUCUGCAUGAACUACUUUAUUGUGUGAAACGUGAUAAUUACAACCAAAUAAAAGUCUAUAGUUUCCAAAUCGUUUCUCUAAUUUUUUAGUUCCAAAUUUUCCUG
Hylaeus volcanicus is the source of this 1693-nucleotide long non-coding RNA. RefSeq lists it as uncharacterized. Lineage: Eukaryota; Metazoa; Arthropoda; Insecta; Hymenoptera; Colletidae. The transcript has 3 exons. The record is from RefSeq and is a predicted model, not a curated record.